This is an RNA transcript of Xenopus laevis (African clawed frog), 3666 nucleotides long. RefSeq lists it as uncharacterized. Lineage: Eukaryota; Metazoa; Chordata; Amphibia; Anura; Pipidae. The record is from RefSeq and is a predicted model, not a curated record. The transcript is spliced from 2 exons.
AGCAACAGCUGUAUCGGAAUAAGUAUCCUUUUUAAAAUUCUUUUUCUUUACCUUGAGACAUUGUUUCUCUUCACGUGAUUACCACUUGGAGGUUGGGCUAAAUGCUUUGAUGUCAUUUCCUGUUAAACACUAUAUUAUACGUUGUUUCACAUCCAUUGUAUACACUUGACAAAGAGUCCUUGGAGACUCGAAACAUGUUGUGUUGAACAAUAAACACCUAAUUGAGCAGUUAAUUCUGCAGUCUGGAUCGUUCCUUGGAAAACUUUAUUUUGUGGAUUGAUAUAGUUGCACUUACGGCGGAGGUGCACCCCAAGGCUUCGAUCGAAAGUUUGUUUGGCAUUGGUUUGAGGUAACUAGCAUCUCUCAUUUAUUGGACUUGAUUUUUCCGCCUGCUGGUUUACCUUAACUACUGAUUAAUUACUAAAGGAUGUCAGAAGGAACCUCGCCCGGUCUACCUAAUACAGGGGCCGUGACUUUUGCCUAUAAUGAUGUAGAAAUCAAUAGAAUUCUUGCAGAGAUAAACACAGAUCCUAUGCUGUUUGAAGACAAACCUCUGCAUAUGAACCUGGCAAAAGAUCUUUUAUAUGUACAAAGAAAGGAAACACACAUCACUCUACAUGUGAGUACUCUAGCCGAAUAUAUUAAACUCAGACGUAUUCCAAGAGGCCUGCGACUAGAUAUCAAACCUAACCUUUGUGCCAACAAUAAAGUGCUGCAACAGAAGUGGUUUGAGAUUUGUAACAAAUGCAGCAUUGACCUUAUGGUACUUACUGUUGAAAGAUUGACAAUUAAGCUGCAAGAAACCCGUGUAGCUAUAGACGAGUUGAAAAUCAAGGCACAGGAAGAACUUGGAUCACAGAAACUUACUGAGGUGCUGGUGGAGCAUAACCACAUCCUAAGCAAACUGAAGGAAAGCAUCAAGGAAAAGAAACGCGCCAAGUUUGAACGAGACGCUAUCGACUAUAGAGAGAACAGAGUCUAUUCAUGGAAGGAGGAGCGAAAAUGGCAGCGUUCGCAGGAGAGACAGCAGACCGGACUGCCCGCACCACCAUACCGGCAACUACGUGGCACCCAGCGCACUACAGUGGACUUACCCGGAAGGAUUCCAGAAAGCACACUGAGAAGGCAGCAGGGACCGCCGUACACAGCCGCGACCAGCAGCGAAGACUCGGCAACAUCUAUACAGGCGUCCUCAAGUUCCUUGGCGUCCUCGGUUUCUUUUUUGGAUCCGCGUACUACAAUACAAGACAGCGAUCGGAAACAGCACCACAGCAAAGGGUCGAGAGGGGGCAGAGGUCGCUACCCGAAACGGACCCGCAAACAAACCAGGUAAAUUUAGUUAUUAAUAUUUCCUCAUAUGAAUUGACUGCGUCUGAGCUUAGCGUAUUGAACAAAGGCCUAAACUUUAUCCCAUAUUACGACGCUGAUCUGACUAAUUGGGAAAUCGAAUUUCAAAAGUUCUUGCGUGACUUGAAAUUAAAAGCUUACUUUUCAGGCGCUGUACCAAAGGAUUGUUCUGUAAAAGCUGGAUGUAAACUUAAAAAACGUAGCAACUUUAUACCGGAGUACAAUAACGAAUCUUUAAUAGCUUUCGAAAAUGUUGUAAAUUUUGAGGUUAAGAAACACUGGAAGACACAGGGAGAUAAAUGCUUUCGCCCUAACCUCACGUUUAAGGAGAAAAGAGCUUUAGAUUCAUUAAAGACUAAUAACACCAUUAUUAUACGUAAAGCAGACAAAGGGGGAGCAACGGUAGUUAUGGAUAUGAUAAAGUAUGAAGCUGAAGCCCUUAACCAACUAAAUGUACCAGGACACUAUGAAAGAAUAGACCACGACCCCACAUUACAGAUCAAAAAGGAUAUUGACCUUAUGGUGACACAAGCAUGGGAAAACGGAGUGAUUCAGACACAGGAGAAGGAUUUCCUUACAACUGAGUUUCCACGUAUCCCGGUGUUGUAUUUGCUCCCGAAAAUCCAUAAGAGCCUUGUCAGCCCACCAGGGAGACCGAUAGUCUCGGGCAUUGGGUCUGUCCUGGAACCUUUAUCUAAAUUUGUAGAUACCUUCCUACAACCAUUAACCUGUCACAUACCAGUGUGUUUGAAGGACACCACGGACUUAUUGGUUAAAAUGAAUGCCUUGGAGGCACUAGACCCCGAUAUUAUAUUGGUGAGCGUGGAUAUACAAAGCUUAUAUACCUCUAUCCCACAGGAUGAUGGCAUAAGGGUCAUAGAAGAGGCUUUUUUAGAUACCAACUUGUUACCACAGUUAAUGUAUUUUUUAAUUGACUGUUUAUCGAUUGUAUUACAAAAAAAUUAUUUCAGGUUUGCAGGCAAGUACUAUUGGCAACGACAGGGCACGUCGAUGGGUGCUGCAGUAGCACCAGCCUUCGCCAACCUCUUCGUACAUGAUCUGGAGAAAAAAGUAUUCCUGAAAGGGGCAUUUAAAGAACACAUCAUCCAUUAUUUUCGAUAUGUGGACGACAUCCUUAUCUUUUGGAAAGGUCCUGUUCAAACCUUUGAGGAGAUGGUCGUAGAAGCCAAUAAAGCCCAUAAAACCAUUAAAUUUACAUCUGAGGUUGGUGGCCUCUCGUUGAAUUUCCUGGAUGUACACCUCACCAUCUCUGAAGGCCGUGUGCACACUAGCCUAUACAGGAAGGAUACAGAUAGGAAUAAUGUUCUGCAUGCCAAAAGUUUCCAUGCCCCCCUCCGAUCUAGAGAAGUUUGAAAACGCUACCGAAAAUCUGAAAAAAAGAUUUCUAGAUAGGGGUUACAACAAAAAGUCCAUUAAUGAAUGUAUUGAAGACACUUACAAAAUUGAUAGGAAGGAAUUGCUUACUUACAAACCUAAAAAAGAGAGUAAACGGUUACCAUUUGUAUCUACGUUCAGCGUAAACAGUAAAGUUAUAGAAAAUACCAUACGCAAAUACUGGCCUAUUGUCCAACAGGAUACCACUUUGGGUAAAUGUGUCCCUAAUACUCCCCUUUUCAGUUAUAAAAGAGGAUGUAACCUAAGGGACAUCUUAUGUCCAUCAGAGGUUAACCCCUCGGGUCCACGUACGCAAAGGUUUAUUGGAAAACCAAAGAAGGGUACGUUUGCAUGCUUAAAUUGCAUAUGUUGUACAUCUAUAAUUAAAGGGGACACGAUCAAUCAUCCAUGUGAUGGGACCCCCAUACGCCUAAAACAUUAUGCUACCUGCGACACCUGUAACGUGGUCUACCUGCUCAAAUGCCCAUGUGGGAUGGCAUACGUGGGCCAGACAGUGAGACAAGUUAAAUCACGCAUCAAAGAGCAUCGAGGCUACAUUAGGAAUUUUAAAAAGGAUACUUAUUCCGAUACAGCUGUUGCUAGACAUUUCUCGGCUAUGAGUCAUAACGUAAACCAACUAAAAUGGCUAGUUUUGGAGGUCGUAUAUAACCCCCCAAGAGGUGGGGAUCUAAAAUUGCGAUUAUCUCAAAGAGAGAUGUACUGGAUUAGAAAGCUUAACACUGUGAACCCUAAAGGGUUAAAUGAAUCCCGGAGUGUAAAAAGCUUCUUGUGAAACGAUGCUAACACUAUUUUUAUGCCUCCUCUCUUCCAGAUAUUGACCCCUUAGCCACACAUUCAGAAUGUUUCAGAAUCCAGUUAUGCACAUUGGUGAUAGUUGAAGGUUGUCUACGAAUAAAAAUUGAA